This is a non-coding RNA of Picea glauca (white spruce), 1670 nucleotides long. Lineage: Eukaryota; Viridiplantae; Streptophyta; Pinopsida; Pinales; Pinaceae. The record is from Rfam.
UACCUAGUUGAUCCUGCCAGUAGUCAUAUGCUUGUCUCAAAGAUUAAGCCAUGCAUGUCUAAGUAUGAACUAAUUCAGACUCUGAAAUUGUGGAUGGCUCAUUAAAUCGGUUAUAGUUUCUUUGAUGGUACCGUGCUACUCAGAUAACCAUAGUAAUUCUAGAGCUAAUACAUGCACCAAGUCCCAACUCUUUGGAAGGGAUGCAUUUAUUAGAUAAAAGGCCAGCGUGAGCUUGCCCGCUUCUCCGGUGAAUCAUGAUAACUCGACGGAUCGCGCAGCCCUUGUGCUGGCAAUGCUUCAUUCAAAUUUCUACCCUAUCAACUUUCGAUGGUAGGAUAGAGGCCUACCAUGGUGGUGAUGGGUGACGGAGAAUUAGGGUUCGAUUUCGGAGAGGGAGCCUGAGAAACAGCUACCACAUCCAAGGAAGGCAGCAGGCACGCAAAUUAUCCAAUCCUAACAUGGGGAGGUAGUGACAAUAAAUAACAAUACUGGGCUCAUCGAGCCUGGUAAUUGGAAUGAGUACAAUCUAAAUCCCUUAACGAGGAUCCAUUGGAGGGAAAGUAUGGUGCCAACAGCCGUGGUAAUUCCAGAUCCAAUAGCGUAUAUUUAAGUUGUUGCAGUUAAAAAGCUCGUAGUUGGAUCUUGGGUCGUAAAGGUCGGUCUGCCUACUCGGUGUGCACCUUCCCUUCCAUCCCUUUUGCCGGUGGCGUACUCCUGGCCUUAAUUGGCUGGGUCGCGGUUCUGGAAUUGUUACUUUGAAAAAAUUAGAGUUCUCAAAGAAAGCUUAUGCUUUGAAUACAUUAGCAUGGAAUAACGCGAUAGGAGUCUGGUCCUAUUGUGUUGGCCUUCGGGACCAGAGUAAUGAUUAAUAGGGACUUUCGGGGGCAUUUGUAUUUCAUUGUCAGAGGUGAAAUUCUUGGAUUUAUGAAAGACAAACCACUACGAAAGCAUUUGCCAAGGAUGUUUUCAUUAAUCAAGAAUGAAAUUUGGGGGCUCAAAGACGAUCAGAUACCAUCCUAGUCUCAACCAUAAACGAUGUCGACCAGGGAUCGACGGAUGUUGAUCUAAGGACUCCGCCAGCACCUUCUGAGAAAUCAGAGUGUUUGGGUUCCGGGGGGAGUAUGGUCGCAAGGCUGAAACUUAAAGGAAUUGAUGGAAGGGCACCACCAGGAGUGGAGCCUGCAGCUUAAUUUGACUCAACACGGGAAAACUUACUAGGUCCAGACAUAGUAAGGAUUGACAAAUUGAGAGCUCUUUCUUGAUUCUAUGGGUGGUGGUGCAUGGCCGUUCUUAGUUGGUGGAGCGAUUUGUCUGGUUAAUUGUGAUAACGAAGGAGACCUCAGCCUGCUAACAAGCUACAUGGAGGUUCCCCUUUGCGGCCAGCUUCUUAGAGGGACUAUGGCCGUUUAGGCCAUGGAAGUUGUUGAGUCCAUUUUUGUGCUUCCAUAAACCAUACUUUUGACUCUUUAUUUGCCCAUUUUUCCUUCAUUUUAUUCACAUUUCCCAUAAAACAGCUUAUCCAAGGUAUAUUUUUCAUCCUUUAACUUCAGAAUUGAAUUUUAUAAAUUUUUGCAUUAAAAUUGGAAAUUUAGCAGAAAUUACAGGAUUUGACCAAAUCCCGUAAAAGCUCCGUCGUUUGUAUACUUGCAGGACACCUGGGCAAAAUCCAA